Molecule: unclassified non-coding RNA, 285 nt
Filed under: plant metagenome
Description: partial contains small subunit ribosomal RNA, internal transcribed spacer 1, and 5.8S ribosomal RNA
Rfam family: Eukaryotic small subunit ribosomal RNA (bases 1-54)
Source: RNAcentral
GGAAGUAAAAGUCGUAACAAGAUUUCCGUAGGUGAACCUGCGGAAGGAUCAUUAUUGUAUAACCGACGUGCGAGGGCUGUCGCUGACCCGAAAGGUCGUGCACGCCCGAGUGCCCUCACACACAUCCAUCUCACCCCUAUGUGCACCACCGCGUGGGUCCCCCUUUGGCUUGUUCGGAGGGGGGCUUACGUUUUCACACAAACUUUGUAUGCAGUGUAGAAUGUAUUUUUUGUUUUUGCGAUCACGCAAUCAAUACAACUUUCAACAACGGAUCUCUUGGCUCUC